UUCCUACGGGGGGCUGCAGUGGGGAAUAUUGGACAAUGGGCGCAAGCCUGAUCCAGCCAUGCCGCGUGAGUGAUGAAGGUCUUAGGAUUGUAAAGCUCUUUCACCGAUGAAGAUAAUGACGGUAGUCGGAGAAGAAGCCCCGGCUAACUUCGUGCCAGCAGCCGCGGUAAUACGAAGGGGGCUAGCGUUGUUCGGAAUUACUGGGCGUAAAGCGCACGUAGGCGGAUAUUUAAGUCAGGGGUGAAAUCCCGCAGCUCAACUGCGGAACUGCCUUUGAUACUGGGUAUCUCGAGUAUGGAAGAGGUGAGUGGAAUUCCGAGUGUAGAGGUGAAAUUCGUAGAUAUUCGGAGGAACACCAGUGGCGAAGGCGGCUCACUGGUCCAUUACUGACGCUGAGGUGCGAAAGCGUGGGGAGCAAACAGGAUUAGAUACCCCGGUAGUCAC
Molecule: ribosomal RNA, 444 nt
Filed under: uncultured Rhizobiaceae bacterium
Lineage: Bacteria; Pseudomonadati; Pseudomonadota; Alphaproteobacteria; Hyphomicrobiales; Rhizobiaceae
Description: bacterial SSU rRNA
Rfam family: Bacterial small subunit ribosomal RNA
Source: RNAcentral